RNAcentral lists this ribosomal RNA (1369 nucleotides) under uncultured bacterium. Its description in RNAcentral is "bacterial SSU rRNA". It matches the Rfam family "Bacterial small subunit ribosomal RNA", at positions 28 to 1381 of the family's 1533-position model. The record is from RNAcentral.
GACGAACGCUGGCGGCGUGCCUAAUACAUGCAAGUAGAACGCUGAAGAGAGGAGCUUGCUCUUCUUGGAUGAGUUGCGAACGGGUGAGUAACGCGUAGGUAACCUGCCUUGUAGCGGGGGAUAACUAUUGGAAACGAUAGCUAAUACCGCAUAACAAUGGAUGACACAUGUCAUUUAUUUGAAAGGGGCAAUUGCUCCACUACAAGAUGGACCUGCGUUGUAUUAGCUAGUAGGUGAGGUAAUGGCUCACCUAGGCGACGAUACAUAGCCGACCUGAGAGGGUGAUCGGCCACACUGGGACUGAGACACGGCCCAGACUCCUACGGGAGGCAGCAGUAGGGAAUCUUCGGCAAUGGGGGCAACCCUGACCGAGCAACGCCGCGUGAGUGAAGAAGGUUUUCGGAUCGUAAAGCUCUGUUGUAAGUCAAGAACGGGUGUGAGAGUGGAAAGUUCACACUGUGACGGUAGCUUACCAGAAAGGGACGGCUAACUACGUGCCAGCAGCCGCGGUAAUACGUAGGUCCCGAGCGUUGUCCGGAUUUAUUGGGCGUAAAGCGAGCGCAGGCGGUUUGAUAAGUCUGAAGUUAAAGGCUGUGGCUCAACCAUAGUUCGCUUUGGAAACUGUCAAACUUGAGUGCAGAAGGGGAGAGUGGAAUUCCAUGUGUAGCGGUGAAAUGCGUAGAUAUAUGGAGGAACACCGGUGGCGAAAGCGGCUCUCUGGUCUGUAACUGACGCUGAGGCUCGAAAGCGUGGGGAGCGAACAGGAUUAGAUACCCUGGUAGUCCACGCCGUAAACGAUGAGUGCUAGGUGUUGGAUCCUUUCCGGGAUUCAGUGCCGCAGCUAACGCAUUAAGCACUCCGCCUGGGGAGUACGACCGCAAGGUUGAAACUCAAAGGAAUUGACGGGGGCCCGCACAAGCGGUGGAGCAUGUGGUUUAAUUCGAAGCAACGCGAAGAACCUUACCAGGUCUUGACAUCCCGAUGCUAUUUCUAGAGAUAGAAAGUUACUUCGGUACAUCGGUGACAGGUGGUGCAUGGUUGUCGUCAGCUCGUGUCGUGAGAUGUUGGGUUAAGUCCCGCAACGAGCACAACCCCUAUUGUUAGUUGCCAUCAUUCAGUUGGGCACUCUAGCGAGACUGCCGGUAAUAAACCGGAGGAAGGUGGGGAUGACGUCAAAUCAUCAUGCCCCUUAUGACCUGGGCUACACACGUGCUACAAUGGUUGGUACAACGAGUUGCGAGUCGGUGACGGCGAGCUAAUCUCUUAAAGCCAAUCUCAGUUCGGAUUGUAGGCUGCAACUCGCCUACAUGAAGUCGGAAUCGCUAGUAAUCGCGGAUCAGCACGCCGCGGUGAAUACGUUCCCGGGCCU